Molecule: long non-coding RNA, 406 nt
Organism: Cyprinus carpio carpio
Lineage: Eukaryota; Metazoa; Chordata; Actinopteri; Cypriniformes; Cyprinidae
Source: Ensembl
UCGCAAUUUAACAUCGCAAAGGCCUUUAGAUUACACUGACAAAAUUUGGUGUUGAUCUGAAUAAAUCUCUAGGAGGAGUUUGUUAAAGUACAACCCCUGAAAAUGGCAAAAACGACACAAAUUUCGCAGAGAAAAUUCAAAAUAACUGACUUCCUGUUGGGAUUCGAAUUUCGUACCAAGAGACUUUUUUGUAGGUAUUGGUGUGUUACAUGUGUGUACCGAUUUUUGUACAUGUACGUGAAACGUAGCUCGAGGUGCACUCCGUUGAAAAUGUAUAGGUGGCGCUAUCGAGGCAUUUUGCCACACCCGAUGGAAUAUUGGCCUUCAGAUUUGUUCAGGCCAGGACUCUUAUCGAACAUGUGAAGUUUGGGCAAGAUCGGACAUUUUAUGCCUGAGUUACAAUAAC